RNAcentral lists this unclassified non-coding RNA (177 nucleotides) under uncultured Guignardia. Its description in RNAcentral is "sequence contains ITS2". The record is from RNAcentral. Lineage: Eukaryota; Fungi; Ascomycota; Dothideomycetes; Botryosphaeriales; Botryosphaeriaceae.
CAACCCUCAACGCCCCCUGUGGACUUGGUGUUGGGGACCGGCGACAAUCACCUGUCGCCGCCCCCUAAAUGAAUUGGCGGCCCCGUCGCGGCCCUCCUCUGCGUAGUAGCAUACACCUCGCAACAGGAGCCCGUCGGUGGCCACUGACCGUAAAACACCCCUAAACUUUUUUUAGAG